RNAcentral lists this ribosomal RNA (563 nucleotides) under uncultured bacterium. RNAcentral's name for it is "bacterial SSU rRNA". It matches the Rfam family "Bacterial small subunit ribosomal RNA", at positions 338 to 916 of the family's 1533-position model. The record is from RNAcentral.
CCUACGGGAGGCAGCAGUGGGGAAUAUUGCACAAUGGGCGAAAGCCUGAUGCAGCAACGCCGCGUGAGUGAUGACGGUCUUCGGAUUGUAAAGCUCUGUCUUUUGGGACGAUAAUGACGGUACCAAAGGAGGAAGCCACGGCUAACUACGUGCCAGCAGCCGCGGUAAUACGUAGGUGGCAAGCGUUGUCCGGAUUUACUGGGCGUAAAGGGUGCGUAGGCGGAUGUUUAAGUGAGAUGUGAAAUCCCCGGGCUUAACCUGGGUACUGCAUUUCAAACUGGAUAUCUAGAGUGCAGGAGAGGAGAAUGGAAUUCCUAGUGUAGCGGUGAAAUGCGUAGAGAUUAGGAAGAACACCAGUGGCGAAGGCGGCUCUCUGGACUGUAACUGACGCUGAGGCACGAAAGCGUGGGUAGCAAACAGGAUUAGAUACCCUGGUAGUCCACGCCGUAAACGAUGAGUACUAGGUGUAGGAGGUAUCGACCCCUUCUCGUGGGGCAGUUAAGACAUUAAGUACUCCGCCUGGGAAGUACGAUCGGCAUACUACCACUCAAAUAAAUUGACGG